UCCUUCAGACUGUUUCAAAGACCGGGAAGAAGACUUCUUUCUGGGAAGAAGGAGCAUCAGCUGCACCUGAAUCGAAGCCCGCAGAAACUGUUGCAGAAACCGAAUCAAAGCCCGCAGAAACUGUUGCAGAAACUGAAUCGAAGCCCGCAGAAACUGUUGCAGCUGCAUAAUUUGGGUCACUAGUGGCCAGAAAGCUGUUGCUUUCACUUAUUAUGUUACUCUUAAGGAGCUAAAAUGUAUGUUACGGGUCAACAAUAAUAAACAUGUACAAUACCUCGGUGUGUGGUGUUCAGUAUUCGCUAAUUAACUGUAAGCUCCAUUUAUCUUUUAUUUGAGAUGCUCCGUGCAACAGAAACUAGAAAGUGUUUUGGCUGUCUAAAUUUAUCAAGGUGCUGAUAUUCAUGUUGUAACUAAGUUGUUCAUUUGAUUUUGUGGUAUACUUCCAACAUCAGUAAAUCAGGAACCAAGGGAUACGAAGAGUGUCAAGGUCAUGCGAAACCAUGAAUUUCAUGUAAUGGUUCUUCUGGAUAGAUUGGCUAAAAAAAAGUUGUCGCUAGCCAUUCCCAACCAUAAAAAGCCAUGCAGGACCUUGAUAUUUGGAUUGGUUUUUUCCUCAGCCACCAUUAGUUGUUUCAAUUUUGAGUCACUUGAUUAUGGGGCCGUAGGUAGGAUAUAAUCGAGGACUUGGCUGGUAGUCUUCAAAAAAUCAAGAACCCAUAUGGAAGAUAUUUGCUGCCCAUCAUUAUUAUCUAUGGAUUUGGUCAUCUGCUCGCUUAUCAUUAAAUCCGUCAGUAUCGUCCUAGGCCAUGACCUUGUGCGUUAGCUAUAAUAUCAAUGAUUUAACAUGCAUGGGGUGAUGGUGCUUUGCAAAUGCAUUUCUGAUUUAUUUAUAUAUCUCCAAAAAAAAAAAAAAAAAGGUUUCGGAAGCGUAGCCAUUGCAAACUUAAAACUGGAAAAUCAGAAAACGGAGAUAAAUUUGCCGCCUUGAGCUUGGCAUCUAUAGACACGGCUAACUAACGUAUUGUUUUGGCAAGGAAAAGACAAGCUUCCAGCCUCGUAUGGCUUUUUUUUUUUCCUUUUCUUUUCUUUAAUUUGAUUACUUUUUCUCCACGCUUUCACGUACGUGCAGUUUUCAGCUACCAUAAGAGAUACUAAUAUGUCUAAUUGCUUGCAACAAUCCACUGUUUAGAGAAGAAAACAGAAAAAGGAAGUAGUUGUAAGGAAAAGAAAGAUGCCCAUUAAUUCCAUAACAGAACACCACAAUAACCAUCAUGCAGUCCUUUGCUUCCCUCUUGCAGAAUUGCGCCAAGCACAAGUCCAUUUUCAGCGGCAAAGCAGUUCAUGCUCAGCUAAUCAGGUCCGGAUUUAUCCCAGAUGUUUAUACAAACAAUCAUAUGCCCUCGUUGUACCUACAGUUGGGGCAGAUGGGCUAUGCUCAAACCGUGUUCGACAUAAUGCCAAAACGAAACGUUAUCACUUGGACGACGUUGAUUUGCUCGUUUUCUCAGAUGGAUCUCUCGGAAAAAGCCUUAAGUUGCCUUAGGUCAAUGGUUCUUGAAGGGUUUUUGCCGAACGAGCAUACUUAUGUUGGUGCUAUAUCUGCUUGUGUUAAUACAAGGGCUGUUAGUAUUGGGAAGGAAAUUCACGGGAGGAUAUAUAGGACUCAGGAUAGUUUGAAUAGCUUUGUCAGUAAUUCUUUGGUUAAUUUUUACGGCAAAUGUGAGUUGUUGAAGUCGCCUAGGCUUGCAUUUGCUGCUAUCUUGGAGCCUAAUUUGGUUGCCUGGGCUUCACUCAUAUCUUGUUGUUUUCAGUGUGGACAGAACGAGGAAGGUUUGAAAUUGUUCUUAAGGUCCUUGAGGGUGGGAAUGACUGUUAACGAGUUCACUUGUUCGAGUGUUCUGGGUGCUUGUACUAUGUUGGAAAUUUUGGAACUUGGGAAGCUACUCCACUGCCCAGUCGUUAAGUGUUGUAUUCCUGCACAAUUGUAUUCCUGCACAAAGGAAGUGUCAUCCCCUUUACCCUGCUCAAUGAAAACAACUAUGAUAUCCCUCUUCAGCAGAGACUUUAUCCAAUAAUCAUAAUUAACCAUCUCCCUUGUACUUUCUUACGCAUACCAGCUAUAUAUCCCUUAAAUUCUCUCUAUUUUCCAUCCAGUUAUAUAUAACAAUAUAAAAAUAAACAUAUCCAAAUUAUACCAAAUUAUUCAUUUACCUUAAAUUUUAAAAAAAUAAUUUACAUUUCAUUAUUUUAACUAAUAUUUCCAUCCAUUCUAAAUAUCAAUUAUUAAAUGAAUCUUACAUUACAUAUAUAUAUGUAUAUAUAUAUAUAUAUAUGUACACGCACAUAAACAAAUAAAUAAAUAUAAAAUAAACAAACAAAACCACAAAAUAUAUAAACACUACAAAAAUUUCAACUAUUCUAUCACCUAAAAUAAAAUACUAAACACACACACACACACAUAUACAUAAAUACAUACAUACAUACAUACAUAUCACAAAAUAUAUCAUAUACCUAUAACUACAUAUUAAUACAAAAUUCACUCCAACUUUAAAUAACAUAAAAUAACUCAUAUAAACAUCAAACAAUAAAUAUUAAAAAAAUUCUACCACAAAUUCCACUAAUUAAACUCUAAAUUUUCAUAUCCAAUAAUUUUUAUUUCUUAUAUAAAAAUUUAUACACAUCACCUUAACUUCAAUAAUAUCCAUUCAUCAAUAAACUAUUAAUAUAUCAACUCUCUCAGCUCUCAAAAUCAAUAUUAUCCUUUAUUCAUUCAAAUUCUAUUAAUCAAAUCAAUUUUACUAUAUUUAUUUAUAAAUAAAUAAAUCCAAUAUAUCAAUACUCUAUCCACUCUUCCAACCCCAUUAUCAUACAAAAUACUAUAAAUCUAUACUAUUAAAUAAAUCUUUCAUUACCCUAAUAUAUUUAAUAAUGGACUCCCCGCGGAAGCCGCGGGGCACCAAGCCUAGUGAUAAUUUUAAUUCAGUCAUCAGCAAUCAUGUCUCAGGUACUCCCUUCUUCUUCUUCUUCUUCUUCUUCCCUCCGAUUUCUUGUUUGGUAGCAUUCAUGAUUAGUUUUGUAAAUUCAGGUGGAAUCAGGUUGCGAAUGCUGGUCUGUUUGGAUUGUAAGUUAUUUGGGAUUAUUUGAGAUAUUUUUACUGUAACACUUUUUGUGAUGUGAUGUAUGUGAGAUAAAAAGAUAUUGGGAAGAUAAAAAGGUGUAUUGGAAAUUGUAAAUAUAAUGUAAGCAAAUAAAAUUGGAAAAAUAUGAAGCAAUCCAAACAAACCAUAAUCUCAUAGUUUAGCUAAAAGUUUCCCGUUAGUUGCCCUACCCGAAAUUUCUCGAAUUAGAACUGAUUUGGGUGCCCUAAGAUUUAAUCGGGGUAAUUUGCUUAGUUGAAAUUAGGCUAUUUUCCGUGUUCAUGUAAGAUAAUGUGGUUACUCAUCUGUUCUUGAAUAUUUAUGUAUGUAAAAGUGUCCCUUUUUUUUUUUUUUUUUUUUUUAAAUGUAAUACAACGCUUUAUCACCGCUAGCAUUUGGUUCUACCGAAGCAUCGAGCAGGCAAUUUGGAAGUAGCAUGGGAAUAUAAGCAAUGCUUUACUCGACUUGUAAUUCUGACCUUAAUAUUUCUCAUUUUCCAUGUUUGCAGACUGUUGUCCUCAAGGUUGGCAUGUCAUGCCAAGGCUGUGUUGGAGCUGUGAAUCGGGUGUUAAGCAAAAUGGAAGGUUUGUCAACUUGCCUAUUCUUCUACUAUCCUUCAUUUGAUUGUUUGUCAUUGACACCACUGACUUUGAAACUAUCAAUGAGGAAAAUCUGUGCCCCCUGACCAUGUUGAUUAUGCUCUUCGGAUGUGCAAUAUAGCCUUUUGCUGUAAUAUCUUGUCAGAAGUGUGCAAAAUCUGGUGGCCACCUAGAGAAAUUGGUUAGCUGAGUUGGUGCUUGAUUUUACAAAUGAUUUCUCAACUGUCAAAUAAGCCUGUCCCAGAACUUUCAUGUUCUUGUAAAGUAAUAGAAGUGAAGGUUUGUUGAUUGAUUAGUCGUUCAGUGCUUAUUUCAGACUGCAUGGUAGCCGGCUUAAUAAUUCCUGACUUUGCACCAGGCCAUAGUUUCAAGUGCUAUUUUGAUCAAAAGAAACUAGUGAUAUUUGCAUUCAGCACUUGGCUGUUUCUUUGUUAAUUGCCCAAAAAAAAAAGGAUAGAAGUUUGCCAAUAUAGAGCUGAGAAUUUAAAUACCAUUCAUAUAGCAAAUGAGUCGACUAUAUCAGACUCGUAUACCGCUGCAGACUCUGCAAUAUUCUAUUAUUUUUAUCAACUGAUCACAUGUUGAACAUUGUUCUAUAUAUAAUGUCAAGAAGAAAGUCUAGCCUAGAUUGCAUUUAGGGAGCCUUGUAGGAGAAGGAGAGAUGAGACUCUUGAAAGCAAUAUCGGAUGCUUGCACACACUUUUCGAGCUUUGGUUUCGGAUCCACUUAUAACCCCUAUGCAUUUGCCAUCGAGGAGUUUGCCUUUACUAAAUCGAGCACCACUUGUAAGUCAUUUUUUAACUCAAGGUGUGGGGGAAUGUCGGUUGGAACCCUUCUUCUUUUACCAACUGAGCUAUCAAAAAAUGUAGUAGUGAAGAAAGAAUUGGUGCGGAAAAUGGGAUGGCCCCCUCUUCUCAUCACAUUAAAGACGUGCGGCUCUAUAUAAGGCUCGUACUUCAGAGCAAGUGAAGAAAAAAUAAGAGUGCACGUUACCACUCUUGCAAGAAAAAUGGCCUAGCUAAGGCGCCUCUUAUUUAUUAAUAACUAAAGAAAAACUUUGAUAUAAGAAAGAUGCGCUCAAGCACCCAACCUAUAUAAGGGGUGCUUGGGCUCGAAAGCCGGCCUAACUCAGCAAGCAUCUUUCUUAGUAAUAUAGGUAGAGUUGGGGCCGUGCUUUCUGAGAUCUGUCAGGCUCCGGCCUAGCACCGCCACAAUGGCUUCAAGAGUCACCGGAAAGUUAACAGAAUGAGAGGAAAGAGAGAAAGGUAGGUAGAGGGAGAGAGAGAGGGAAAUAACAGAAAGAGGGAAGAAUUGGAAUUUGUUGAUUUCAGACAAUAAGAUCCUAACUGCCUAUUACAAUCCUCCGGUGGGUUAUUUAUGCAAUUAAGCUUUAACCGUCUUUAUUCACUACUAAUUGCCACUUAGUUGAACGACACCGUUUCUGGCAUCUGUGCCCUGUGCCUACCAAACGCUACGUUUUGUGAACAAAACGACAAUAGCUAACUUCUGAGUUCCUGACAAUCCCUCCCCCUUAAGCAAAGCUUGUCCUCAAGCUUGGAAUGCUGGAAACUGUUUGUCGAUGAAGUCCUUGUCUUCCCAAGAGGCCUCGGAUUCUGGUAGCUGAUCCCACUUCAUUAAGUACUGGAUGACCACGAUAGAGUUACGCCUGAUAGCUCGUCUUCUCAAGACUGCCUCAGGUUGAAGUAAGCAUUGGUCAGAGGAGUCCCAAGCAGGCAACAUAGGGUCAGUGCCCUGAGCAUCUCCAAUCCUUUUCUUUAACAGUGAAACAUGAAACACUGGAUGAACCUUAGCUCCAUCAGGUAACCGUAACCUAUAGGCCACCGCCCCUACCUUGGCAAUGAUCUGGAAAGGUCCAUAGUAUUUUGCUGUGAGCUUCAAACUUUUUCGAAGAGCCACCGUUUGUUGUCUAUAAGGUUGUAGUUUAAGAAACACCCAAUCCCCCACUUGAAGUGUACGUUCCGAUCUAUGUCUGUCAGCAAAGAGUUUCAUGCGGUUCUGUGCCUUUGCCAAAUUCUCCUUGAUGAGCGAAAUGACCUGGAGCCUAUCCUGCACCAGGUCAGUUGCAGCUGGGAUAACACUGUCGUGGAAAGGCCCCAAGGGAAUGUGGUUGGGCUUGUAUCCAUACAAUGCCUCAAAUGGAGUAAUCUGUAAGCUGGUGUGGAAGUUGGUGUUGUACCAAAGCUCAGCUGUGGGUAGCCAUCUACUCCAUUGAGAGGGGUGUUCACUGCACAUACACCUAAGAUAUGUUUCCAGGCAUUGGUUCACGCGCUCACUCUGACCAUCAGACUGGGGAUGGUAGGAUGAGCUAUAAUGCAGGCCAACUCCCAACAGAUGGAACAACUCUUGCCAAAACCUGCUAACAAAAAUUUUAUCCCUAUCUGAAAUCACAGAUUCUGGUAGUCCAUGAAGCCUAUAAAUCUGGUCAAGGAAGACCUGGGCUAUCUGUUGCGCAGUGAAAAGAUGUGUGAGACGAAUGAAGUGACUGAAUUUUGUCAGUCGAUCCACCACUACUAAGAUAGUGUCACAACCAUGAGAUAGGGGCAGCUGCUCAAUGAAAUCCAUGGAUAUGUGGGACCAUGCCUGUUGUGGAACUGGGAUAGGUUGCAAAAGUCCAGGAUAGGGAACAUUCUCAUGCUUGUUCCUUUGGCAUACAUCACAAGACCUGACAAAAGUGACAACAUCCUGCUUGAGCCCCGGCCAAAAAAAUAAAGUUUGUAUCCUGUGUAGACAUCCCCUUUGGCCAGAAUGCCCCCCUACUGCUGAGUCAUGUAGAGCCUUGAUCACCUUGCCACGAAUACUAUUAGCAGAUCCCACAUAUAAUCUAUCUUUAAACUUGAGCAUUCCCUUAUCCAAGUGAUAGUCUGAUACUGCAUUGGGGUCUAACAGGAGCUGAGCUAUCUUCUACUGAGCUUCAUUAUCCCCCUCAUAGCUUGCAACCAACUCCUGCAUCCAUGUUGGUUGGACUGAGGAAAUUGCACACAUGGUACAAUUUACUGCUACGUCCCCCUGAGGGUGUUCAAACUUCCUCCUGGAUAGCGCAUCUGCCACCCCAUUUCAGCUCCUUUUUUGUACUGGAUUUCGUAGUCCAGGCCAAGUAAUUUGGUGAGCCAUUUAUGUUGCAGGGGGUGCGUGAGCUUCUGCUCCAGCAAGUGUUUGAGAGCUUGGUGGUCAGUUUUGAUGACAAAAUGAUGGCCCACCAAGUAGUGUUUCCAUUUGGUCACGGCUAGCACCAGAGCAAAUAGCUCCUUCUCAUAAACAGAUAACCCCAAGUUCUGGCUGGAUAGAGCUUUGCUGAGGAAAGCUAUAGGGUGUCCAUGUUGCAUUAGCACUGCUCCAAUCCCUACCCCACAAGCAUCAGUCUCUAUGACAAAAGGAAUUUCAAAAUCUGGCAUACUGAGUACUGGAGCUGUGGUCAUAGCUCUUUUGAGGUCUUCAAAAGCCAUCUGAGCAUGAUGGUUCCACCCAAAACUCUCCUUCUUCAGUAGCUGAGUUAAAGGCUUGCAAAUCACACCAUACCCCUUUAUAAAUCUUCUGUAAUAUCCAGUCAGCCCCAAGAAUCCCCUUAAUUCCUUAACUGAGUUAGGAGUGGGCCAAGACAGGAUACAUCCCACCUUAUCUGGGUCCAUGUUGACACCAACCUCAGAAAUCACAUGCCCCAAAUACUCCAUGGAUGUCUGAGCAAAAGAGCAUUUUGACUUUUUACAGUAUAACUGGUUAUCCGCUAAGAUUUGGAGUACAAUUUUUAGGUGCUGCGCAUGUGACUCUAGAGUGGGACUGUAGACCAAGAUGUCAUCAAAAAAUACCAAUACAAAUUUUCUCAGGAAUGGCUGGAAAAUCCUAUUCAUCAAAGCCUGAAAUGUAGCUGGUGCGUUUGUUAGGCCAAAAGGCAUUACUAGAAAUUCAAAGUGCCCAUGGUGUGUUUGGAAAGCAGUCUUGGGAAUGUCUGCUACCUUGACCCUCAACUGAUGGUACCCAGCCCUGAGGUCUAACUUAGACAUAAAUUUGGUGCCAUGUAACUCAUCUAGCAAUUCAUCAAUAUUGGGGAUGGGAAAUCUAUCCUUGACAGUCACCUCAUUGAGCUUCCUGUAGUCUAUACAUAAUCUCCAAGUGCCAUCUUUUUUUUUAACUAACAAGACAGGGGAAGCAAAAGGACUAGUACUGUGUUUAACAAUUCCAUUCGUAAGCAUUUCUGCAACCUGCUUCUCAAUUUCUGCUUUAUGGGAGUGGGGAUACCUGUAAGGCUUGAGUUUAAAUGGUUCUGCCCCUGGUUUGAGAGGGAUUUGGUGAUCCAGCUCCCUUUCUGGAGGUAGUCCCGUUGGAGUAGCAAAGAUCUGUGGAAACUGCUGUAAGACCUGUUCCACCAACUCUGGGAUGUCCUUCUGAAGGUCUUUGGUGGAGUUCGUCUGCAGGUGUGCACAACUCUUCUUUCGUUCUUGGAUGAAGGAUCUGAGGUCCCUUCCCCUCACAAGCUCCAUCGUAGGUUGAUUUAUGAACCCUUGGAGGUGGAGUAAUUGCCCUCGAUCACUGAGUGCUAUGCUGAGAGUGUGGAAGUCAAAGGUGAUUGGACUGAACUGACACAUCCAGUCAACCCCCAGGAUGAUAUCCCAACCUCCUAGUUCCAUUAUCUUCAUGUCAAACUGAAAUUUGUAGUCUUGUAUCCUCCAGGCUACCUUAGGACAGGCUGUCCCACUGGUGAUGUCUGUCCCAUUGGCUAAAGUCACAAUAAAAGGAUUCACAGAUUGAUAAGGUAAAUGCAGUAAGGUAACAAUUCUAUGGUUGAUGAAACUGUCAGAACUCCCGGUGUCCACUAGUAUUUUAAUUGGUAAGCCACCUAUACUGCCAAUUAGCAUGAUGGACUUCCUCUGAAUGGCACCAGACAAGGCAUUCAGUGAUACUUCAGCCGUCUCUCCAACUCUGCCAGUAAACUCAUCCUGUUCCCCCACUGCAUCCUCAAAAUCAUUCUCUUCUUCCUCUUCCUCUUCCACACUAACGCAGUUCAAACCUCUUGUCCUGCACUGGUGUCCCAACCCAAACUUCUCUCCACACCUGUAGCAUAGGUUGUUUUUGCGCCUGUACUGCAGCUCUUCUGCUGAAAGUCUUCCUACCUCCUUGUGUGCAACUUCGGUCCUUCUAGAGUUAGGAGUUAUCGCAGGAAGCCUGUAAGAAUUAGGUAGAUUCUGUCCACCAGGUUGCCCCUUGUACAUCCCAAACUUAGGCUCCAUGGCAAUCUUGCCAGAAUUUUUAGUCUGCUUACAUUGCACCUCCAGUGCAUACUCCUGCAACUCUGCUACUUCAAAUGCUUUGGUCAAUGUCUGUGGUCGAAACAUCUUUACCAUGGGCUUGAUCUCCUCUUUUAACCCACUGAUAAAGCUGGAAACAAAAUAGGACUCAUCUAAUCUGGGGUUCUUGGUUAACAUCAAAGUUUUUAAUUCUUCAAAUUUUUCCUCAUACUCCUCCACUGUCCCCACUUGUUGCAGCUUGUUAAAUUCUUCUACGAUGUCGAGCGAUCCCUUGCCAGAGAAACGCUCACAUAGCAACUCGCUAAACUCUUCCCAAUUUAGCCCAGGUAUAGCUAAUUUCACCCCUUGGAACCAAUUAUCGGCUUUGCCUUCUAAGAACAUCUCCACUAAAUCCACUUUCUGGCAAGCAGGUAUGUGAUAGUUCAAAAAAUAUUUAUGACAUUUCCUAAGCCAUUCCCUUGGAUUCCCUGCCAUAAACAUCGGCAAAUCUAAUCUAGGUAAAUUGGGGGUGAACAUCCUACCUCUGGACUCCUGCUGUUGGCCGGCCAUUUCAGCCUGAGUCGCCAGUCGGACAUGCGAGGGUGGUGUAGGUAGAAGAGGUUCGGAAGGUCCUCCUUCAUUCUCCUGGCCUCCCUUGUCCUUCAUCAUCACUUUCAUUAACGCGUUGAACUUUUGCUCCAACUUGCAGAACUUCUGGUCCAGAUUUCCCACCACCGACUCCAGUCUCGAGUUGCUCUUCUCCAUUUCCUCAUUGAGUCUCUGUUGUAGCUCAUUCUGCGCCGACGUGUGCAGAGCAACCAUGGAUUCGGCCAAUUCCUGGAGCUUACUCUCCUGUUUCUUCAGCUGAUCCUCCAAGGAUCGGUAUCUCGUGCCUUCCGCCAUGGCAGGUCUUCUUCCUCAGCAGCCAAGGAUCGGCUGCUCUGAUACCAACUGUCAGGCUCCGGCCUAGCACCGCCACAAUGGCUUCAAGAGUCACCGGAAAGUUAACAGAAUGAGAGGAAAGAGAGAAAGGUAGGUAGAGGGAGAGAGAGAGGGAAAUAACAGAAAGAGGGAAGAAUUGGAAUUUGUUGAUUUCAGACAAUAAGAUCCUAACUGCCUAUUACAAUCCUCCGGUGGGUUAUUUAUGCAAUUAAGCUUUAACCGUCUUUAUUCACUACUAAUUGCCACUUAGUUGAACGACACCGUUUCUGGCAUCUGUGCCCUGUGCCUACCAAACGCUACGUUUUGUGAACAAAACGACAAUAGCUAACUUCUGAGUUCCUGACAAUCCCUCCCCCUUAAGCAAAGCUUGUCCUCAAGCUUGGAAUGCUGGAAACUGUUUGUCGAUGAAGUCCUUGUCUUCCCAAGAGGCCUCGGAUUCUGGUAGCUGAUCCCACUUCAUUAAGUACUGGAUGACCACGAUAGAGUUACGCCUGAUAGCUCGUCUUCUCAAGACUGCCUCAGGUUGAAGUAAGCAUUGGUCAGAGGAGUCCCAAGCAGGCAACAUAGGGUCAGUGCCCUGAGCAUCUCCAAUCCUUUUCUUUAACAGUGAAACAUGAAACACUGGAUGAACCUUAGCUCCAUCAGGUAACCGUAACCUAUAGGCCACCGCCCCUACCUUGGCAAUGAUCUGGAAAGGUCCAUAGUAUUUUGCUGUGAGCUUCAAACUUUUUCGAAGAGCCACCGUUUGUUGUCUAUAAGGUUGUAGUUUAAGAAACACCCAAUCCCCCACUUGAAGUGUACGUUCCGAUCUAUGUCUGUCAGCAAAGAGUUUCAUGCGGUUCUGUGCCUUUGCCAAAUUCUCCUUGAUGAGCGAAAUGACCUGGAGCCUAUCCUGCACCAGGUCAGUUGCAGCUGGGAUAACACUGUCGUGGAAAGGCCCCAAGGGAAUGUGGUUGGGCUUGUAUCCAUACAAUGCCUCAAAUGGAGUAAUCUGUAAGCUGGUGUGGAAGUUGGUGUUGUACCAAAGCUCAGCUGUGGGUAGCCAUCUACUCCAUUGAGAGGGGUGUUCACUGCACAUACACCUAAGAUAUGUUUCCAGGCAUUGGUUCACGCGCUCACUCUGACCAUCAGACUGGGGAUGGUAGGAUGAGCUAUAAUGCAGGCCAACUCCCAACAGAUGGAACAACUCUUGCCAAAACCUGCUAACAAAAAUUUUAUCCCUAUCUGAAAUCACAGAUUCUGGUAGUCCAUGAAGCCUAUAAAUCUGGUCAAGGAAGACCUGGGCUAUCUGUUGCGCAGUGAAAAGAUGUGUGAGACGAAUGAAGUGACUGAAUUUUGUCAGUCGAUCCACCACUACUAAGAUAGUGUCACAACCAUGAGAUAGGGGCAGCUGCUCAAUGAAAUCCAUGGAUAUGUGGGACCAUGCCUGUUGUGGAACUGGGAUAGGUUGCAAAAGUCCAGGAUAGGGAACAUUCUCAUGCUUGUUCCUUUGGCAUACAUCACAAGACCUGACAAAAGUGACAACAUCCUGCUUGAGCCCCGGCCAAAAAAAUAAAGUUUGUAUCCUGUGUAGACAUCCCCUUUGGCCAGAAUGCCCCCCUACUGCUGAGUCAUGUAGAGCCUUGAUCACCUUGCCACGAAUACUAUUAGCAGAUCCCACAUAUAAUCUAUCUUUAAACUUGAGCAUUCCCUUAUCCAAGUGAUAGUCUGAUACUGCAUUGGGGUCUAACAGGAGCUGAGCUAUCUUCUACUGAGCUUCAUUAUCCCCCUCAUAGCUUGCAACCAACUCCUGCAUCCAUGUUGGUUGGACUGAGGAAAUUGCACACAUGGUACAAUUUACUGCUACGUCCCCCUGAGGGUGUUCAAACUUCCUCCUGGAUAGCGCAUCUGCCACCCCAUUUCAGCUCCUUUUUUGUACUGGAUUUCGUAGUCCAGGCCAAGUAAUUUGGUGAGCCAUUUAUGUUGCAGGGGGUGCGUGAGCUUCUGCUCCAGCAAGUGUUUGAGAGCUUGGUGGUCAGUUUUGAUGACAAAAUGAUGGCCCACCAAGUAGUGUUUCCAUUUGGUCACGGCUAGCACCAGAGCAAAUAGCUCCUUCUCAUAAACAGAUAACCCCAAGUUCUGGCUGGAUAGAGCUUUGCUGAGGAAAGCUAUAGGGUGUCCAUGUUGCAUUAGCACUGCUCCAAUCCCUACCCCACAAGCAUCAGUCUCUAUGACAAAAGGAAUUUCAAAAUCUGGCAUACUGAGUACUGGAGCUGUGGUCAUAGCUCUUUUGAGGUCUUCAAAAGCCAUCUGAGCAUGAUGGUUCCACCCAAAACUCUCCUUCUUCAGUAGCUGAGUUAAAGGCUUGCAAAUCACACCAUACCCCUUUAUAAAUCUUCUGUAAUAUCCAGUCAGCCCCAAGAAUCCCCUUAAUUCCUUAACUGAGUUAGGAGUGGGCCAAGACAGGAUACAUCCCACCUUAUCUGGGUCCAUGUUGACACCAACCUCAGAAAUCACAUGCCCCAAAUACUCCAUGGAUGUCUGAGCAAAAGAGCAUUUUGACUUUUUACAGUAUAACUGGUUAUCCGCUAAGAUUUGGAGUACAAUUUUUAGGUGCUGCGCAUGUGACUCUAGAGUGGGACUGUAGACCAAGAUGUCAUCAAAAAAUACCAAUACAAAUUUUCUCAGGAAUGGCUGGAAAAUCCUAUUCAUCAAAGCCUGAAAUGUAGCUGGUGCGUUUGUUAGGCCAAAAGGCAUUACUAGAAAUUCAAAGUGCCCAUGGUGUGUUUGGAAAGCAGUCUUGGGAAUGUCUGCUACCUUGACCCUCAACUGAUGGUACCCAGCCCUGAGGUCUAACUUAGACAUAAAUUUGGUGCCAUGUAACUCAUCUAGCAAUUCAUCAAUAUUGGGGAUGGGAAAUCUAUCCUUGACAGUCACCUCAUUGAGCUUCCUGUAGUCUAUACAUAAUCUCCAAGUGCCAUCUUUUUUUUUAACUAACAAGACAGGGGAAGCAAAAGGACUAGUACUGUGUUUAACAAUUCCAUUCGUAAGCAUUUCUGCAACCUGCUUCUCAAUUUCUGCUUUAUGGGAGUGGGGAUACCUGUAAGGCUUGAGUUUAAAUGGUUCUGCCCCUGGUUUGAGAGGGAUUUGGUGAUCCAGCUCCCUUUCUGGAGGUAGUCCCGUUGGAGUAGCAAAGAUCUGUGGAAACUGCUGUAAGACCUGUUCCACCAACUCUGGGAUGUCCUUCUGAAGGUCUUUGGUGGAGUUCGUCUGCAGGUGUGCACAACUCUUCUUUCGUUCUUGGAUGAAGGAUCUGAGGUCCCUUCCCCUCACAAGCUCCAUCGUAGGUUGAUUUAUGAACCCUUGGAGGUGGAGUAAUUGCCCUCGAUCACUGAGUGCUAUGCUGAGAGUGUGGAAGUCAAAGGUGAUUGGACUGAACUGACACAUCCAGUCAACCCCCAGGAUGAUAUCCCAACCUCCUAGUUCCAUUAUCUUCAUGUCAAACUGAAAUUUGUAGUCUUGUAUCCUCCAGGCUACCUUAGGACAGGCUGUCCCACUGGUGAUGUCUGUCCCAUUGGCUAAAGUCACAAUAAAAGGAUUCACAGAUUGAUAAGGUAAAUGCAGUAAGGUAACAAUUCUAUGGUUGAUGAAACUGUCAGAACUCCCGGUGUCCACUAGUAUUUUAAUUGGUAAGCCACCUAUACUGCCAAUUAGCAUGAUGGACUUCCUCUGAAUGGCACCAGACAAGGCAUUCAGUGAUACUUCAGCCGUCUCUCCAACUCUGCCAGUAAACUCAUCCUGUUCCCCCACUGCAUCCUCAAAAUCAUUCUCUUCUUCCUCUUCCUCUUCCACACUAACGCAGUUCAAACCUCUUGUCCUGCACUGGUGUCCCAACCCAAACUUCUCUCCACACCUGUAGCAUAGGUUGUUUUUGCGCCUGUACUGCAGCUCUUCUGCUGAAAGUCUUCCUACCUCCUUGUGUGCAACUUCGGUCCUUCUAGAGUUAGGAGUUAUCGCAGGAAGCCUGUAAGAAUUAGGUAGAUUCUGUCCACCAGGUUGCCCCUUGUACAUCCCAAACUUAGGCUCCAUGGCAAUCUUGCCAGAAUUUUUAGUCUGCUUACAUUGCACCUCCAGUGCAUACUCCUGCAACUCUGCUACUUCAAAUGCUUUGGUCAAUGUCUGUGGUCGAAACAUCUUUACCAUGGGCUUGAUCUCCUCUUUUAACCCACUGAUAAAGCUGGAAACAAAAUAGGACUCAUCUAAUCUGGGGUUCUUGGUUAACAUCAAAGUUUUUAAUUCUUCAAAUUUUUCCUCAUACUCCUCCACUGUCCCCACUUGUUGCAGCUUGUUAAAUUCUUCUACGAUGUCGAGCGAUCCCUUGCCAGAGAAACGCUCACAUAGCAACUCGCUAAACUCUUCCCAAUUUAGCCCAGGUAUAGCUAAUUUCACCCCUUGGAACCAAUUAUCGGCUUUGCCUUCUAAGAACAUCUCCACUAAAUCCACUUUCUGGCAAGCAGGUAUGUGAUAGUUCAAAAAAUAUUUAUGACAUUUCCUAAGCCAUUCCCUUGGAUUCCCUGCCAUAAACAUCGGCAAAUCUAAUCUAGGUAAAUUGGGGGUGAACAUCCUACCUCUGGACUCCUGCUGUUGGCCGGCCAUUUCAGCCUGAGUCGCCAGUCGGACAUGCGAGGGUGGUGUAGGUAGAAGAGGUUCGGAAGGUCCUCCUUCAUUCUCCUGGCCUCCCUUGUCCUUCAUCAUCACUUUCAUUAACGCGUUGAACUUUUGCUCCAACUUGCAGAACUUCUGGUCCAGAUUUCCCACCACCGACUCCAGUCUCGAGUUGCUCUUCUCCAUUUCCUCAUUGAGUCUCUGUUGUAGCUCAUUCUGCGCCGACGUGUGCAGAGCAACCAUGGAUUCGGCCAAUUCCUGGAGCUUACUCUCCUGUUUCUUCAGCUGAUCCUCCAAGGAUCGGUAUCUCGUGCCUUCCGCCAUGGCAGGUCUUCUUCCUCAGCAGCCAAGGAUCGGCUGCUCUGAUACCAACUGUCAGGCUCCGGCCUAGCACCGCCACAAUGGCUUCAAGAGUCACCGGAAAGUUAACAGAAUGAGAGGAAAGAGAGAAAGGUAGGUAGAGGGAGAGAGAGAGGGAAAUAACAGAAAGAGGGAAGAAUUGGAAUUUGUUGAUUUCAGACAAUAAGAUCCUAACUGCCUAUUACAAUCCUCCGGUGAGUUAUUUAUGCAAUUAAGCUUUAACCGUCUUUAUUCACUACUAAUUGCCACUUAGUUGAACGACACCGUUUCUGGCAUCUGUGCCCUGUGCCUACCAAACGCUACGUUUUGUGAACAAAACGACAAUAGCUAACUUCUGAGUUCCUGACAAGAUCCCGCUCAACCCUAUCCUAAAAGGGGCCCUUGUAGAGUUUUUGCAUAGAGAAGCGACAUCCUUGGAUCUCAAAUUGUUCCUUGAUGAAGAAUAUAUAUAUAUAUAUAUAUAUAUAUAUAUAUUACGAUUUGGAGCUCUGUAGACAAAGAAAUGACCAAAAUAUCUUUAACUGGUCAAUCCCUUGUGUCAAUUUUCGACAACAAAAAUGGCCAACCGUAUUUUGACUUUUUAACUAUGAAAACUCAUGAACUGGAUUUCAAGGUCUUCGCAUCAUUCUGAGGUGUAAGUGGGAGAGAUAGGAUGUCAUAAUUGGGGUUUUGAAUAAGACAAUCUUUUUCUUUUUCAUUUUUUCAUGUUAGCUGUAAAAGGGCUAAAAAAUUACCUCAAUCUGAUACUUGUAACUCAACAUAUAGCCAAAAUACCAACAUGUGUCAAAGCUAUUGAUAAUGAGCUCAUGACUGACCAAACACCUCCAAGGUUAACAAUCCAAGUUCAAGCAAUGAUCAAAUUGUUCUUGUUGAUCUUGGUCCCUAACUUUUGAUAUUUACAAAAAUAAUUGGAUGAUACUAAUAUCUCUUCAAGAAAUAUUUUCAGCUAUGAAGCAAAUCUAAUUCAAAGAUCAAGAGCAUUUGAAAGAGAUAAAGGAAGUUGAAAGCUGUCGGACGCUCGCAAAGACAACAUCGGACGUCCAAUAACAAUGUAGCACUUUGGACGCAUGAAAAACUCAAUCACCGGACGUCUGAAAGAAUUAAGAUAUUCCCUCACACUCACUGUCUGUUUUCGAAAGCAAAGCAUUAGAGGUACCGGACGUCCGAAAGAAUUGAAGAAAAUUUUUCAAAUUCACCAUCUGCUUUUGGACGUAAGCAUCAGAGAUACCGGACGUCCAAAAGAAUUGAAAGAAAUUCUUCAAAUUCACUGCCUGCUGUCAGACGCAAGUGUCGAAAGUACCAGACGUCCGAUACUCCCAACGACUAGUUGAAUUUUCAGCUGCCUUCUAUCCGUUGGAAGUAUUAAUAGAGCACUUUUUGGUCUCAUAUAAAUAGUACAUAGUCAACAACUUAAGAAGAACUUUUGCACAUUGAGAAUACAAAAGAUCAAGAGUAGUUUUAGUGAGAAAGCACUCUACAAGAAAGAUUUGUACUCUUUGUUGUGUAAAAUUCAUGUAAACUUUUCUUGUGUGAGAAAAAUACUUCAAUAGUAUAGGUUUGUGAGAGUUAUCCUGAGUGAUAGUAAAACUUCCUAACUUGACCGAGUGUAAAUUGGGGUAUGGAGGAAGUGAUCCUUCUUUUGUACACAAAGAUUGGUUGUAUUUCAUCAAAUUGAAUAAAGUUGUUCUAUAAAGUGAUAUUCAAGCUCAAGAAGAGUUUGAAAGUCAAAUUAGUUUGCUAUUCUUCCCUUAUUAUUUACUAUCUUGUGAACCUUAAUUGCUUAUCUCCUUUACUCUCAAGCAAUCUUGCUCUCUUACUAAUUGUUUCAUUGAGUGGUCACCUAGAAAAUAGGGCAAAUUUCAUAUUGAACAAAAAAAACGUCUCAUAACCUAAUUAGAUUUUAAAUAACCCAAUUCACUCCCCUUUUAGGUUGUUUUCAAUUCUUACAACUGGUAUCAGAGUUUGAUUUUCUAGAGAUUAAGCUCAAGCGACUUAGGAGUAAAUAUGACAACCAACAAUAUCAUAUUUUUUGAAGGACAAUCUGUCACUAGACCACCAAUAUUCAAUGGGUCAAAUUAUGUGAGUUGGAAGGAAAUAAUGAUUAUCUUCUUGCAAUCGAUUGAUAUUAAUUUGUGGUUUAUUGUAAAUGAAGGUCCAUAUGAUGUCUCUACAAUUGAUAAAGUUACUCAUAGACCAAAACCAAAAACAAGAAUUGAACUGACUACUGAAGAUAGAGCUCACCUCACCUUAAAUGCUAAACCUAUAAAUGUGCUAUAUAGUGAUUUAGACUCAAAUGAAUCCAUCAGCGUCAAAGGUUGUAAGUCUGCUAAAGAGAUUUGGGAUAAAUUGAGAGAAAUUCAUAAAGUGAGUGAGAAUGUAAGAGAACAAAAGAAAUCUAUUUUAGUUACUAAAUAUGAAUCAUUUAAGAUGGAAUCUCAUGAAAAUAUUGACAAAAUGUAUUGUAAAUUCAAUGAUCUCAUUAAUGAUUUCGAAAUAUUGAAAAAGAAAUACUCCUUAUGAGAGAAAAACAGAAAAAUCUUGAAUGUUUUAUCUAAAGAUUGGAAAAAUAAGGUGACUGCUAUUGAAGAGACUAAAAAUUUAAAUACGAUGCCUAUUGAAUCACUUAUUAAUUCUCUAAUCUCUUAUGAGGUGAAACUUAAGACUAAAGUAUAAGAGGAAGAAGAUGCAAAGGUAAGAAGGAGCAUUACUCUAAAAGCAUCUCAAGAUGAAAAUGACUCGGCUUCCUUGGAUGGAGAAGAUGUAGAUAUUGACGACAUUGAUCUUGCUCUUAUCACAAGAAAUUUCAAGAGAAUUCUCAACAAAAGAAGAUUUAGAAAAGUAUGACCUAGCAAUUCAUUUCCAAAUCAAUUCAACAAUGCAAGAAACAAAGGAAUGCAAGAAGCCAAUAAAAAGCAAACUGACAAAUGCUAUGAAUGCGACUAACUUGGAUACUACAUGAGCGAGUGCCCAAUAAAGAAGAAAAAAGAAGGAAAAGUUGAACGAAAACCAAAAUUCGACAACUUUCAAAUUACAUUGAAUGAUUGCAACUCAGAUGGUGACAUUGAAGAGGAAGAGGAAUCUGCGCAAAUGACUUUCAUGGCCAUUGGUGAUGAUGAGGUAACUACUUGUAACUCUCAACUUGUUAGUGAUGAUGAAUCUGAUGAUGAUAUUAAAUCCUUCAUUGAGAGACUGCAUGCUAACUUGAAAGAAUCUUAUGCUAUAAACAAGGAGUUAAAACAAAAAAUUAACUUUCUGCUUCAAGAUAGUGCAAACCUAUUUCAACAAAAUAAAAAAUUGAAAACUGAAAUGACUACUUCAAAAAGGGUGAGACUGAUCUACUCAUUGAGCUUGAUAGAAAAAUAAAGGCUGCGUUUGGAUUGAGUGUUUUUACACCUGUUUUUGAAAAACUGUUUUUCACAUUCCAAAUGCUACAGUAAUGUGUAUUUCAAAAACAACUUCAAAAACACCAUAUCCAAACAAUAUAUCAAAAACAACUCCAAAUAUAUUUCAAUUAUGUAUAUUUAAUUUGUAUAUUUUAAUAAGUAUAUUUCAAUUUGUAUAUUUUAAUUAUGUAUUUUAAUAUGUAUAUUUCAAUUAUAUUUUAAUAUGUAUAUUUCAAUUAUGUAUAUUAUAUAUAUAUUAUAUUAAUAUAAAUAUAUUUAUUUCAAUUAUGUAUAAUAUUAUAUAUAUUAUAUCAAUUGAAAUAAAUAUUAUAUAUUUAUAUAAAUACAUUUAUUUAUAUAUAAAUUUAUAAAUAUAUUUAUUCAAUUUUGUUUUAUAAUAUAUAUUAAUAUAUGUUAAUAUGUAUAUUUCAAUUAUGUAUAUUAUACAUAAAUUAUAUUAAUAAUAAUGUAUAUUAUAUAUAUUAUACAUUUAUAUUAAUAUACAUAAUAUUAAUUUUACAUUUAUACAUAAUAUUAAUACAUGUAUACAUUUAUAUUAAUUAUAUUAAUACAUUUCUACAUAAUAUUAAUAUAUAUUUAUAAUUUAUUAAUUUAUACAUUUAUAUUAUAUACUAAUAUAUAUAUUAAUACAUUUAUACAUUUAUACAUUUAUAUUAAUAUACAUAAUAUUAAUUUUACAUUUAUACAUAAUAUCAAUACAUAUAUACAUUUAUAUUAAUUAUAUAAAUACAUUUCUACAUAAUAUUAAUAUAUAUUUAUAGUAUAAUAUAUUAAUUUAUACAUUUAUAAUAAUAUACACUUAUAAUUUAUAAUAUAUUUAUAAUAUUCAUUUAUAAUUUAUACAUUUAUAAUAAUAUACACUUAUACAUUUAUAAAUAUAUUUAUAUUAUGUAUUAUAUAUAAUAUAAUACAUUUAUAUAUUUUUAUAUGAAUAUAUAAAUAUAUUUAUUUAUAAAUAUCUAUAAAUGUAUUAUAAAUGCAUAAAUGCAUAUUUAUAUAAAAAUAUAAAAAUUAUAAUUUAUAAUUUAUUCAUUUAUAAUAAUAUACAUCUAUACAUUUGUAAAUAUAAAUAGAUUAUAAAUGCAUAAAUGUAUAUUUAUAUAAAAAUAUAAAAAUUAUAAUAUUCUAAAAAUACUCAAAAAUAUGUUUCAAAAAUACCUCUAAAAAUAAUUCAAAAAAAUCUACAGUAAAAGUUUUUCAUAUAGUUUUUGAAAAACAACCCCAAAAACAACUAAUCCAAACGGACUUGUUUUUCAGAUUCAAAAUGCUACAGUGGUGUUUUUGAAAAACAAACCCAAAAACAGCUAAUCCAAACGGAGUCAAAGUUUUGUGAAAUGUUCAAAAAGAAAUAAGGUGAUUUAAAAAAAAAUAAUGGACAAUCUAAAUGAGUUGCUCAAACAAAAAAAACAAAGCUGUUUUCAAGAAAUAGUUCAAAACCUCAUCUUGGCAUUCAUGAGAAAAAGUUAAAUUCUAGUGCAAAUGAAUUUAUUGUUUACAAGAGAAGACAAGUAAGAUUUGUUAAACAUGCCCAUACAAGUAACUUAUUGAUUAUGUAUAGUUUUUGUUGUCAAAUAGGUCACAUGAAAAGUAAUUACUAUGUGAGAAAGAACAUGAGAAAACGCAUGAAAUGUAUGUGGAUAGUUAGACAUGAUACUAACUCUCGAGUAUCCAAAAAUUAAAGGGAAACUGGUAAGACCAUGCGAUCGUAAGAUGAUGUAUGAAUAGGAAACUAAUAUAGAUGAUGUCCGUGGGAAUUAAACUGCCUAAACAUCCCUUUAUAUACAUACAUGUGGGAUGGCUAAAGCGGGCCGGGGGUCAUGUUUUAGACAAGGCUUCCACCCAGAAAAAAAUGGCUUGCUUUAUUUCAUAGAAUGCCUUAUGGUUCAGGAGCUUGAUUAGGCAAAGAAUGCAACCCCUGAAGCUUAAAGGCCUGAAUCUGGAGAAGCUUUUUACCAAUUACCAUAUGUUCUUUCACGAGAUUUUCAUAUUUACAGUGUAUUCCGUAUGAAGAGGCUUGCACGUAUUGCUGCUAGUGCAUCAAGGGCUUCAAAUUUCAACCAACCAUAUAGGCUAUCAAAGUUGCUCUCUGAUAAAUUGUUGAACCCGUUUCCAUUUUUUCUUUAGCCCCUUUUUCCUUUGGAAAGAAAGGGUGAGGCCACAGGCGGAAAGCAAGCGUUUUCUAUUUUAAGUAACGUCUUUCCUUCUUUUUUAUCUAUUUUGUGUUUCUUGUUCAGCUGCUAUGUAACAUGUGUCAUGCGUUGGUGACUUGUACACCUAUUGGCAAUCUGUAAAAAGGAAGUAAGGAGUUUGGAAAUUACAAUACCAAAGUAACAAAAUAACAAAAUAUUUGUUUUGCCCAAAAUUUGUUUUUUAACCAAUAAAAAUGCUCUAAACAAGAUUGCAGAACUCAUUAAUUUUACGAGUAAAUCUUAUAUAAACUGACAAUAUAUAUACACUAUCACAUUGGAUACAUGACACAUAAACUAAAUUUAAAUUCAGAUAAAUUGUCAUGUAUCCAAUAGGUAUGGUCAGUGUAUAAAAAAUUAAUCAUAAGUUUACAUAUACGAUACAAUACAAAUAAGAUUGUGGACUCUUAUUUGUGUAAUUGACAGUAUUAAAUAUAUUGAUAAAAAAUAUGAGAUCUUUCCUACUGACGGUGUAUAUACUAUCAGCGUUGGAUGAAUAACAAUCAUGUAAAAUUUGAAUUUGACAGAUUAAUCCAAAAAAUAUUACUAGAUUGUGGAACAGCAGUUUGCGUGGACUCGACGCAAUGCUUUUGUAGUUUAGCCCUUUCAAGUUUGGGCCUAGUUCAUCAUACCAAUCGAGCAGCAUCAGUGCAGCAAAGAAGUCCAGGAAAAGAUAUCCAAUUAUGAUAGUCUAGCCGCAUCUUCUAUGAAGAGUCCAAAAAAGCCCAGUCAAACUUUUAACGCGGUACCCAUGGGCCAUGGUAGAACAGGCGAAUAAAAAAAACAAAUGGGAAACGAGAAGCUGUACUGCUGUGAAUAAGAAGGACCGACUUGUACUGCUGUUUCUUUUCUGAUAAAAAAGAACUCUUACUGCUGGCCAAUGAUAGUGGGUUUAUUGGAAAAUGAUGAUUGUACCAUUAUCUGAUGAAAAGUUUAAGAUUUGGCCAUCCACCGAGCUUAAGAGCCGGAUUGGAUUGUUUUUUUUUUUUUUUGAAUUUUUUUUUUGUGAAAAAAAGUAUGAGAGAUAAAAAUGCGAUUCAAAAAUGAGAUCACGAAAAAUAUAAAUUUUUUUUAAAAAAUUAACUAUUCAAACAAUCAUAAAUCUCUCCUUUUUGGAUAAAUUACAUAAGUAUGUGAAAACUGAAUAUCGUCUUAUUUCUCAUAUUUUCUGGACCAUUUGAUAGUUAAUAUUAUGAAAGUGAUACACAGUUUUUUAUACAUAGAUAGGGAUGAUAUAGAUGAGUCCAUGAUUUUCAUCUAUGGUUUAAUAUUCAUACUAAUCGUCUGAGACAUUAUAAAUCAAUUUAUAAUAAAUCGAUAUUAAUGAGGAAAACAAAAGCAAGUUUUCACAAUCCUUUCGCCAAUGAUCUAUUGAAACGUGAGGUGUGUGUGUGUGUUUUUUUUUUGUUAAAAAAAAAAAAAAAUCUUCUCACUUCUACUCACAACCAAUCGUUUCUAAGAAUUUUGAUCAUUGGAUCAACUUCAACUAUCAACAUGAAACACUAUAGUGAAAUUCGCCCAUGUAGAAAAUUAUAAAAAAAAAAAAAAGAAAGAACGUGAUGAUUUCUUCAAUCUCCUCCCAGAUUCGUAGUUCAAUUUUUUAUUUUUGGAGCUGCAAAUAUGCAAUUCUUCACCUGUACUACUGUUUUAACGUCCAAGAGUACGCGUAGACAGAGAAAAGAAUAAUAUUAAUAUAUUUACAACGGAAGUCGUGUGCGAUUACGCGGCAUGACGAAUCAAAAUUUAAGGGUAUUUUAAAAUCCCGAUUCGGCUGACUUCUCCAAUUUAUCUGCGCAGAAUUUUUUAUUUAGCAAUUUUUUUUUCUUCUCCCUCGUCGUCUUUUUCUCAGUCGAUAAAUACCCCACCGACUUGGCAAUUUAAGGCACACCCGUCUAUCCCACGUAUCCUACUUCUAUCUCUCGGCAUUUGAUAAUUUUAAUUCAGUCAUCAGCAAUCAUGUCUCAGGUACUCCCUCUUCUUCUUCUUCUUCCUCUUCUUCUUUCCCUCCGAUUUCUUGUUUGGUAGCAUUCAUGAUUAGUUUUGUAAAUUCAGGUGGAAUCAGGUUGCGAAGCAUAAUCUCAUAGUUUAGCUAAAAGUUUCCCGUUAGUUGCCCUACCCGAAAUUUCUCGAAUUAGAACUGAUUUGGGUGCCCUAAGAUUUAAUCGGGGUAAUUUGCUUAGUUGAAAUUAGGCUAUUUUCCGUGUUCUUGAAAGAUAAUGUGGUUACUCAUCUGUUCUUGAAUAUUUAUGUAUGUAAAAGUGUCUUUUUUUUUUAAAAAUGUAAUACAACGCUUUUCACCGCUAUCAUUUGGUUCUACCGAAGCAUCGAGCAGGCAAUUUGCAGUAAAAUUAGAUGAUCAAUUUAUGUUUUGACUAGCAAGUUCAGUAACUUUGUGUUUAUUCUUCAGUGAUUGGAUGCUUAAUUGCACUGGUCAAGAAAAAAAAGGGAAAUUAUUAUUUCCAAACACUCUAUCUGGAAGUUCCGGUUGAAUUAAGCAUUUCUUUUAGCUAAUUUAUUUGCUGAAAUCUGUAUUUUCCAGACGAUACUUUGGAUUCGACGAUACUGGGGAAGUAGCAUGGGAAUAUAAGCAAUGUUUUACUCGACUUGUAAUUCUGACCUUAAUAUUUCUCAUUUUCCAUGUUUGCAGACUGUUGUCCUCAAGGUUGGCAUGUCAUGCCAAGGCUGUGUUGGAGCUGUGAAUCGGGUGUUAAGCAAAAUGGAAGGUUUGUCAACUUGCCUAUUCUUCAUUUGAUUGUUUGUCAUUGACACCACUGACUUUGAAACUAUCAAUGAGGAAAAUCUGUGCCCCCUGACCAUGUUGAUUAUGCUCUUCGGAUAUGCAAUAUAGCCUUUUGCUGUAAUAUCUUGUCAGAAUUGUGCAAAAUCUGGUGGCCACCUAGAGAAAUUGGUUAGUUAAGUUGGUGCUUGAUUUUACAAAUCAUUUCUCAACUGUCAAAUAAGCCUGUCCCAGAACUUUCAUGUUCUUGUAAAGUAAUAGAAAUGAAGGUUUGUUGAUUGAUUAGUCGUUCAGUGCUUAUUUCAGACUGCAUGGUAGCCGGCUUAAUAAUUCCUGACUUUACACCAGGCCAUAGUUUCAAGUGCUAUUUUGAUCAAAAGAAACUAGUGAUAUUUGCAUUCAGCACUUGGCUGUUUCUUUGUUAAUUGCCAAAAAAAAAAAGAUAGAAGUUUGCCAAUAUAGCGCUGAGAAUUUAAAUACCAUUCAUAUAGCAAGUGAUUCGACUAUAUCAGACUCGUAAACCACUGCAGACUCUGCAGUAUUCUAUUAUUUUUAUCAACUGAUCACAUGUUGAACAUUGUUCUAUAUAUAAUAUUUGACUGUCUUUACUUCUUAUAAAGAUGGAGUGGUCUUGACAUGUUGAACAUUGGUUUACGUAUAAUAUUUGACUUGCGCUUCGUGGUAAUACUUUCAGGCGUGGAAUCAUUUGACAUUGAUCUUAAGGAGCAGAAAGUGACAGUAAAGGGUAAUGUACAGCCUGAAGCAGUCCUUCAGACUGUUUCAAAGACCGGGAAGAAGACUUCUUUCUGGGAAGAAGGAGCAUCAGCUGCACCUGAAUCGAAGCCCGCAGAAACUGUUGCAGCUGCAUAAUUUGGGUCACUAGUGGCCAGAAAGCUGUUGCUUUCACUUAUUAUGUUACUCUUAAGGAGCUAAAAUGUAUGUUACGGGUCAACAAUAAUAAACAUAUACAAUAC
Molecule: long non-coding RNA, 24223 nt
Filed under: Coffea arabica (coffee)
Lineage: Eukaryota; Viridiplantae; Streptophyta; Magnoliopsida; Gentianales; Rubiaceae
Description: long non-coding RNA (CARA_LNC000937)
Source: RNAcentral